UCAAAUCGCAAAUCCCUCACACAUGCAACAUCUCUAUUCAGUGAUUUCAUCUAAAAGGGAUUAGACCCAUCUUGGAGGAAACUUGGUUUCGAAAAUUUGACACUUACUGCUCUCUUCGCUAUCACGGCGGUAUGAGCUAUCGAUGUUCGAUUUCUCUCAAUGACUUGCACCAUUGUGCGCCGCGCGUGGUGGCGAUGCGAUAGGAUCCGCGGUCUGCGUGGUUUCGCCUAUCUUCAGCUCUUUUCAGUGUUUAGUCAUCAGCCGGUCCCGUCGAAUCGCUGUCCUCCGCGGAACGCAACACGCCCAUGAAAACAAGUAACAGGAGAUUCACCUAUAGCUUCCAGUCUCUCCUCUGCUGACGAAGUUCACUCGAUAAGGAGUCAGCAUGCAGUUUUAUGGAUCAAAUUCCUGUUUCCCGCAGCUCAAACUCUGCUGCUGCGGCUGUUCCCUCCGAACGGGUGUCCUUAUCAUGGGCUGGUUAAGUGCGGUUUGUGGAGGGAUUUAUCUUUUAGCUCAAUGGCCUAUCGCUGAUGCUCUACUGAAUUUUGCUAUAACCAGCAGCCUCAGUGCCAAAAUUGCGGUCUUUUUGUGGGUGAUGGACUACUUUAUUACUGGUGUUCUAGUGACGAUUACUGCCGUCAUUUUACUGAUUGGAGUCCACAAGAACAAUUCGAGGAAAGUCUUGCCUUACCUGAUAGUGGGCAUUGCCAGGGCGAUUAAACUAGCCGUGGAGAUUCCACUCUUCACCUUCACUGACAUCGGCACUAGCGUGAUAAUUAAGAUUCACGACAUCCAGACAAAUGUGUUCCCACAUCCACUUGUUUUGUGCAUUGAACUCGCCGUAAACUUCUACUUCCUUGCUGUUAUUAACAGCCACUACGUCGAAAUGGAAGGGACACUCCCUCGAUAAGGAAACAAUAGUUUCAUCGAGUGUUACCUGAAGGGAAACGACCCACCCCACGAGUCUACAAUUUCCAAUUUAUUUUUGUUCCAGCCUGUUACUAUAGUGUAAGGUUUAUUUUGCAUUUAUUCAAUGCGGUUUUGUUAAAUACUGUCACUGCAAAUGUUACUGUUAGUGUAAGUAUUUUUUGUAAUUUUGUGCCAGUACUUACAUGGAUAACUCAGUUUUUUCAAAAUUUUAUUUGCAUUUCUGAAAGGAAUUUUUCUGUUUUCAGUGUGGUUACCUACAAGUUUCCUUCGCCCAGGCUUCAUUCGCUCAGUUUCCAUAUUCCGACUGAAAUUAUCUCUCAUUCGGUCUGAUCAAUUUUCCGCACAAAUGCCCAAUCUUAUUAUUUUCCAGUAUCAAACUUAAAAACAUUUAGAUUCUAUGCAGUUGCUUCUACGUUACUCCUCCAACAUUACGUAAAUGUUUGCGGUUACCAUGUUUUUUUUUUAGAAAAAAUGUUCUGUUACUUCAAUCUAAGUUUUCGUACUUACAUGCUUAUUACGAAGUUUAAGGAGUUUACCGAGAGCUUUCUAUUUUGUAUUCAUUCUCAAGUCUUUAAUUUUAUUUUUUGUAAACAUUGUUUUUUCCUCGAUAAAUUUACAACGUUCUAUUUUCUAAUAAUAUUUUCAUUUCUUGAUUUAGAUUAUUUUCCUCCUAGGCAAGACGUGUUGGUCAAAAUUCAUUUCAAGAUUAAGUUUCCACCCAUUUUUGAGAGAAAAAAGAUGAUCUCCGUUCUUUCUCUGCGCGUUUUACAGUUUUUUUUUUUUUUUUUUUUUUUUUUUUUUUAAUUUUAUUGGUAAAUUGAUCUUCUGUACAGAAAUUACAAUGCAGCUAUUUUUAAGGUUAUUCCAGAAGUGGGAAAGACAGGACACUAUUUUGACAGAGCCAGACUUGGACAACAAAUCUCAUCGCGGCAAAGCAAGGUUAUUCUUCAGGCCUACGGCUCACGGUGGAUCGGGUCAAUUCCAGAGGUCGGAAAUGAAAUUUUUGACUAAAACUUCAAAUUUUGAUGUUAAAAUUGUCACAUUUUAAAUUUCAAGGGGUGCUUUAAGAAGAGAAUUUCACGAGGAAACCAAUGGAACCACUUCUAAACCCUCAAAAUUUUGUAUGAACGGUGUUAUAAGCGUUGAAAGUUUCCAAAUUUGGUCUAACUUCUCCUAUUGACUCGAUGCAUUGUGCAGCGCACAGUGGAGUAAGCCAAUAGCAUAUACUGCCGUGCUAAGGAUAAUCGCCGUAUGAACCCUCAGGCGUUGCCAAAUUUCCUUUGAUAAAACCCGAAUUUCCUGGUAAAACUUUGGCUAUUUUCCUUCCAAUUUUUCAGAUAAUUUUGCUCCCACUUUCAUCCAAAGUUUCUGAAAAUUUCAGGGAAUAAUAUUCAUAAAUUUUCUCAAAAAUAAACAUUUUAUUGAAGGAAAUUUGGCAACCCUCGAAUGUUCAUACGGCGUUCUUCCUCAGCACGGCAGCAUAGGUCACACAUGUCGUAGAAACUUCAAAAGCUUAUCGGUUUAUUAAUAGAAAAUCUAGAUGUUUGAAAAAGGAAUUCCAUUGAUUUUCUUGUUGAUUUUCGGCGAAAAAGCAUCUCUUGAAAUUUAAAUUGUGACGAGACGAACAUUCACAUUUUCAGUUUUCAGUCAAACAUUUCAUGCCCGACUUCUUAAUCGCUCGUUUCACUGUGCGUUGGCGGAGUCCGUAGGCUAUAAUUCAAAUGAAACUCCAUAAUUUUCAGUUUUUUCCUCAAUUAAAAUAAUCAUGUGUGUAUAGAAGUCUUCUCUCUGGGCUCAGCUGGCACAUUUUUGCACGAUCAUUUUUGCGGGUCGAUUGUUGAAUCGUUAUCGAAUGACCUUGAUCGAUAGAAAGCAUUGCCAAGAUAGGGAUAUAUCGAUCGACUUCAUUCGAUAACGAUUCAACAAUCGACCCGCUGAUCGGGAUUCCCCGAGAGAAUGGAUUAUUUUUGUUUGUAGGAUGAUUCCACCGUGGUUUCGAGUGCGAACCUGGUUUACUUUAAUAAGAAAAAUUUUAAACUGAAAGCGUCGCUGAGUUUUCCUCUGAUUUUAUGAUAAAAUCAGCAAAAUUUUGGACUGAAAUCGCCCUGUCAUAUCCAGAGGGUAUGGAUUCGAUCGACAUGCAUUGACCGAAAAAUGAGAGCGUGAAUCGAUCG
RNAcentral lists this long non-coding RNA (3104 nucleotides) under Bemisia tabaci. Its description in RNAcentral is "lncRNA ENSSSA1UGG002466". The record is from RNAcentral. Lineage: Eukaryota; Metazoa; Arthropoda; Insecta; Hemiptera; Aleyrodidae.